UUUUGACUCAAUAUCUGCAUCUGCAUAAAAGAAUUUGGAGUUCAAGUAGUACCCCCUGCAUGCAAUGAUCUAUGGAGCUGUCUAUCCCAUUUGUCAUCUAUAAUCUCCCAAAUUGGGGCAUACUUAGCUGCAUCAUUGCCCAAAUUCUCUGCAAUGUCAUUCUUAGCCCUUUCCAUUGCAUCAUAGAUAAAGCCCAUGGAGGGCUUAUCAACAUCAACCAAGCACAAAACCUUCACCAAGGGAAGAAAUACUAAUAUCGCACGCUUCACCCCACGCCAAAAAUAUUUCGAAAGAACAAUAUCUCGUGCCUUCUUUCCCUUGGCAUCUCUAUACCACUUACACCUACUCCACUCAUCUGAAGCAAC
RNAcentral lists this long non-coding RNA (365 nucleotides) under Amborella trichopoda. Its description in RNAcentral is "long non-coding RNA (ATRI_LNC002952)". The record is from RNAcentral. Lineage: Eukaryota; Viridiplantae; Streptophyta; Magnoliopsida; Amborellales; Amborellaceae.